GCACAACGCGAAGAACCUUACCUACUCUUGACAUCCAGAGAACUUAGCAGAGAUGCUUUGGUGCCUUCGGGAACUCUGAGACAGGUGCUGCAUGGCUGUCGUCAGCUUGUGUUGUGAAAUGUUGGGUUAAGUCCCGCAACGAGCGCAACCCUUAUCCUUUGUUGCCAGCGGUUCGGCCGGGAACUCAAAGGAGACUGCCAGUGAUAAACUGGAGGAAGGUGGGGAUGACGUCAAGUCAUCAUGGCCCUUACGAGUAGGGCUACACACGUGCUACAAUGGCGUAUACAAAGAGAAGCGACCUCGCGAGAGCAAGCGGACCUCAUAAAGUACGUCGUAGUCCGGAUUGGAGUCUGCAACUCGACUCCAUGAAGUCGGAAUCGCUAGUAAUCGUAGAUCAGAAUGCUACGGUGAAUACGUUCCCGGGUCUUGUACACACCG
This 438-nucleotide ribosomal RNA is filed under the name uncultured bacterium. Its description in RNAcentral is "bacterial SSU rRNA". It matches the Rfam family "Bacterial small subunit ribosomal RNA", at positions 954 to 1392 of the family's 1533-position model. The record is from RNAcentral.